Molecule: ribosomal RNA, 350 nt
Filed under: uncultured bacterium
Lineage: Bacteria
Description: bacterial SSU rRNA
Rfam family: Bacterial small subunit ribosomal RNA
Source: RNAcentral
AGGAAUAUUGUGCAAUGGGGGAAACCCUGACACAGCCAUGCCGCGUGUGUGAAGAAGGCCCUAGGGUUGUAAAGCACUUUCAGUAGGGAGGAACUAGCAGGGCUAAUACCUCUGUGAAAUGACGUUACCUACAGAAGAAGAUCCGGCUAACUCCGUGCCAGCAGCCGCGGUAAUACGGAGGGAUCGAACGUUAAUCGGAAUUACUGGGCGUAAAGCGCGCGUAGGUGGUUUGUUAAGUGGGAUGUGAAAGCCCCGGGCUUAACCUGGGAACUGCAUUCCAAACUGACAAACUAGAGUACGAUAGAGGGGGGUAGAAUUCAGAGUGUAGCGGUGAAAUGCGUAGAUAUUCU